This is a long non-coding RNA of Cervus elaphus (red deer), 445 nucleotides long. RefSeq lists it as uncharacterized. Lineage: Eukaryota; Metazoa; Chordata; Mammalia; Artiodactyla; Cervidae. The record is from RefSeq and is a predicted model, not a curated record. The transcript has 3 exons.
UUUACCACCAACCCUGAUUCUGGAAACCAAGGACCACUCUUUCUAGAGCUGGAUGCUUCCAUCAGAAUGAAGAACCCUCGCAAGCUGGAAGGUGAGGGCUCCACAGCAAGCACACAGGAGCAUCCAGUCUGUAACAAGAUUAAAGGCUUAAGUGUCCUGAAACAGAAGAUUCUCAGAAGAAAACUGCUGUUUGGCAAGUGGAGACUAGCGUGCAGAUUCCCUGGCCUUCAAGCUUAGGGUACAGAGAUACCAAUUACUUUAGGAACUAAGGAAAGAUAUUGUCAAUUUGAGAAACCACACUAUAAAAUGUACCUUUUCCAUUUGAUGCAAAAAAAUAUCUACGACAGCAACUCAAUUUAAACCUCAGCAACACUGGAGGGAUCCUUUCCUGAGAAUGAGCAUCCCAACCGACAACCACGCUCCACACCCCAAGGGACAGAAUUGA